RNAcentral lists this ribosomal RNA (497 nucleotides) under uncultured bacterium. RNAcentral describes it as "partial 16S ribosomal RNA". It matches the Rfam family "Bacterial small subunit ribosomal RNA", at positions 28 to 507 of the family's 1533-position model. The record is from RNAcentral.
GAUGAACGCUGGCGGCGUGCCUAAUACAUGCAAGUCGAGCGGACGGACGAGUAUCUUGCCUCACUGAUGUCAGCGGCGGACGGGUGAGUAACACGUGGAUAACCUACCUAUAAGUAAGGGAUAACUUAGGGAAACCGGAGCUAAUACUGGAUAAUAUUUUGAACCGCAUGGAUAAUAAGUGAAAGACGGUCUUGCUGUCACUUAUAGAUGGAUCCGCGCUGCAUUAGCUAGUUGGUAAGGUAACUGCUUACGAAGGCAACGAUGCAUAGUCGACCUGAUAGGAUGGUCGGCCGCACUGGAGCUGAGACACGCUCCAGACACCUGCGAGAGGCAGCAGUAGCGAAUCUUGGGCAAUGGGCGAAAGCCUGGCACAGCAAAGCCGCGUGCAUGAUGAAGGUCUUCGGAUCGUAAAACUCUAUUAUUAGGAAAGAACAUAUGUGUGAGAAGAAAAGGAGAUCAUGACGGUACCUGAUCAGGAAGCCCCGGCUAACUACGUG